Non-coding RNA from Triticum aestivum (bread wheat), 135 nucleotides. The record is from Rfam. Lineage: Eukaryota; Viridiplantae; Streptophyta; Magnoliopsida; Poales; Poaceae.
AAAGUACUCCCUCCGUCCCAAAAUUCUUGUCUUAGAUUUGUCUAGAUACAGAUGUAUCAAGUCACAUUUUAGUAUUAGAUACAUCCGUAUCUAGACAAAUCUAAGACAAGAAAUUUGGGAUAGAGGGAGUUGUUG